This 310-nucleotide long non-coding RNA is filed under the name Capsicum annuum. RNAcentral describes it as "long non-coding RNA (CANN_LNC018007)". Lineage: Eukaryota; Viridiplantae; Streptophyta; Magnoliopsida; Solanales; Solanaceae. The record is from RNAcentral.
UUGAUUUUUGAAGGUUGAACCGAUAGAAUAAGUGUGCAAGCAUUAUACUAUGCCUAUUGGUGGCUAGAGAAAGAUAGAGUGUAUCCUGGAAGGUAGUCAUUCGGGCUAAGUUCUAUGAUAUGCAUGUAUUGUUAUUUUUUUUUCAGACCCUAGAGUGCAGUAAGUGUAGUUCAGUUAGAAUCUAGUAAAGGAUCUCCCAAACUCUAAAUGAUGACUUGAAGCUAAGGGGGAGAUGACAGAACGAAUGACCAAGUAAGGCUCUCAGAUUCUAGUAGUGAUGCAGUAUGAUUGAAAACAUUAGAAAGUGAGG